This is a non-coding RNA of Trichobilharzia regenti, 45 nucleotides long. The record is from Rfam. NCBI's taxonomy places the organism in Eukaryota, Metazoa, Platyhelminthes, Trematoda, Strigeidida, Schistosomatidae.
AUCCAUAUAACGAGUCCAGAAUAGGACGAAAUGCGCAUCUUGCAU